CUUGGUGGUAGUAGCAAAUACUCCAGCGAGGCCCUGGAGGACUGACGUGGAGAAGGGUUUCGUGUGAACAGCCGUUGCACACGAGUCAGUCGAUCCUAAGCCCUAGGCGAAAGCCGAUGUCGAUGCGGUGUAGAAUUUAUUUAUUGUUGUGUUUAUUUAUU
Molecule: ribosomal RNA, 161 nt
Filed under: Trigonopterus kintamanensis
Lineage: Eukaryota; Metazoa; Arthropoda; Insecta; Coleoptera; Curculionidae
Description: partial 28S ribosomal RNA
Rfam family: Eukaryotic large subunit ribosomal RNA
Source: RNAcentral